This is a non-coding RNA of Tetranychus urticae (two-spotted spider mite), 5706 nucleotides long. The record is from RefSeq and is a predicted model, not a curated record. Lineage: Eukaryota; Metazoa; Arthropoda; Arachnida; Trombidiformes; Tetranychidae.
GUUAAUUUGAAUUGAGAGUUGACAAUUGAUUCAUUUUAUACACUCCUUGUUAAGACAAUUUACACCAAAGAUUUUUAAAAGUGUAAACACGAGCGUCUACUUUAAUGAAGUUUUGUAACUGACGAGAUCAACUUUCCUUUACAAUGUAUCAGAAGUUUCUUUUUGUCAUUUAAAUUAUGAUUAACUUUCAAUUUUAUCUUCAUUUCCAUCACUAAUAGUUGCAUCAAAUAGAGGAAGUUGACACUUUUUUCCUGUUCCUGACUUUUGUCCUUCAGUUUGUUGUUUCAGAAGCCAAAGUUACAUUGAAGAGAGAAAAAAAAACACAGUGAAAACAAUACAGAACAUGAAAAUAAAAUAAAGAUUUGGUAAGAAAGUUAAUGGGACAUUACAGCUGCCAUGAUGUGAAAAAUGUAAUGUAACCUGAAUAAUGUUUUGUAACUUGAAAUAGAUCGGCUUGAUUUGGAGAAAACUGAGUCACUCACAAAAAAAAUGAGAUAAAGAAUGAAAAGAGAAAAGUUGAGAAGAAAUUGAUAGCUUUACAGUUGUUAAGCGAGAAAAAAUUUUCUUAUCUAGACUGUGGAUGACAAAAAGGGUAAAACUAAAUGUUUUUAUGCAACGAGAAAAAAAAGCAAAGAGUAACCAGAAAAAUGAAGUUGAAUCAUAAAAGAAGGAAAAAUGGCUCCAAUUUUGCCAUACAUCAACUAAUUUGAAUCCAACUACCCGGAAUAUAAACGUUUGUCAACUCUUUUUUGGUUCAAUAUGCACUGGAUCGAGCCACUCCUGUUCUCAUUGACAUUAACUGUGAAAAGAAAAGAAAUUUUUGGUUGUUUAAUAUGUCAAUUUAAAGAUUGUCAUUAAAUGUGCUUUUCCCUGACAUAAGUGAAACAAUAAAUUCCAAUGGGGUGUUAAGGUAAUAAUCAAAGGAUUGAGGAGAAUCGAAAAGCAAAGAAAGGGUAAAAUCUGUCAUCACAAAUGGAAACCAAAAGAGAGAGAAGAUAAAAGAAUGAAGAUUCAAUUCCCAUGUCAUCAUCAUCAACCAUGUCAUUAUUGGAUUGGUCCCAAAUUAUUUAGGAUCACUUAUCAAAUAUUAUUGUCAUAUUAUUACUACUACUGCUGCUGCUGGUGUCUAAUGUACCCUGUUUAUAAUAAAAGGACCAAUGAUUAAUCGGAAGCAAAGAUCUACACUUAGUUGAAGUAAAUUAAUCCUUUUGUUAGAUAACCACUAGACGAUGCUUGGCACAAUAAUAAAACAUGCAAGAGUUAAUCCAUCAUUUACUCUUACUGUCCAUUACGAGAAAUACUGGCAAAUAAGAUGAAUAAAAAGGAGGAAAAAGAAGAUAUAACAAGAAAGAAAAGAAAUAAUAUAAUGGAAAAAGUUGAUGAAAUAAGAGACGAUGGAUAAUUAUUAUCUAAACACUGUAUAAAUAUUAGAUAUUCACAGGAAUGAGGAGAAAAUACGAAAACGUUGAUUCAAGAAAAAGAAUGGAAUUUCAAGACAUAAUGAAGCUAUCCAAAGUGGCCUUUAAUUUACUUCCCAUUAACAUGCUUUUUACUUUGUAAGUGAGAUCUUUCUCCAUACCUUACAAAGUAUUUCUUUCAAAAGCCUCAACAUCUCAAGAUAACUUGAAAGGACUGGGAAGACAAGCUUGGAUGAAUGAAUGAUUCCAGAAUAGUUCUCAUAGAUAAAAGAGAAAUAUCCUUUCUUUGCAUGAAUACAAGACAAUCUGAUGAGUGAACCAUUUACUCAAUACAACGUUAUAUUAAUAUCAUUUGGAGGAAGAUGUCAUUGAUUCAAGUGAAGAACCUAGGAUUAGAGGGAAAAAUGAAAGAUUGGGUCAAUCUAAAUAACUGAAUACUAGUUGUUUAGCUAACGUUGAAUGAGCCAUUAAUUCAAAUGAACUCAUCAAGGUAUAACCGUUCUAAUGUGACUGAAACUCACGGACUCUUCUAUUGGUGAAAUAUUUUGUCGACAAGCUCAAGCUUAUAUAAAGCUCAGGCUCGUUUUGUAUCCAUUUUUGUACACAGGUAGCCCAGGAUACGCAACCUGGUCGCAAGUUUCUCGAAUCAGAAAUUAUGCCAUCAUAUGGAGUAAAAUACUGGCUUCUUGUAAAGUUGGUUUCUGGUACAUAACUUUGAACCUGAAGCUAAUUCACAAUCCAAAUGAAAGGAUUUAAUAGAAAAUGUUUCCAUUGUGAGACAUUCAGCUGCUACAAUUAAAUUUAGUGAACCGUUAAGAUUGAAAUCUCAAUUUAUUCAAUGUUCUUUUUGUGAUAAUCAAAUGGUCAUCCAAGUCAUUAUCUUUUUAUUUUAUUCAAAGGUAAUAUAAUCGUAACUUGCGGACUGAUUGAAAUGCUCUCAACUCAAUCAUGAAGACUUACUUUCAUUACUUUGUUAGUCUGUUCACGGAAAUCCCAACUUGACUCAAUCUUGACUCAAUCACUCAAUCUACUCUUCACCUGUUGCCAAAAUUACCGACAAAAAAUGACUGCAGUUCUUUUGUUUCGUUUUAGUUGCCCUUGUCACCUUGAAUAAGUAAUGAUGAUUGGAAAUGCUAAUGGCUAACACCAAGUUCAUGCAAAUAGAAAUUGAAACAAGCGGAAUUCAUUCGAUUCACGCCUAGUAGCAUGAUUAUCAAAUAAGAACAAGAUUUAAACAGUAAAAAGGUUAGUGAGUGCUCAGCACACCCAACUAACCUGAGUGACUUGGUCACCUAACCGAUAAACAGUUAGAGUAACAUUGACACCCCCUAUGCCAUACUAAGCUUGACAAGCUACAGCCUACGCUGUUUACGGUUAGGCUACUGGUGUUGAGCCUGAGACCUCUGGGUGAAAACCAGGAAUUUAAGCCUCAGGACUACAACCAGUUACCCACUUGAGAUGUGAGUUAAAUGUUAGAUAUUGCUGGGCAAAAACAAAAACUCAAAUUAAAAACUGUAUCCAUAUUUACCAAAAUUUACCCAUCCUGAUGAUCAUCGAAAUACCUUCAGGGAUUCAAGUUUUAAUACACUUUUACAACAACAUUGCAACAUUUCUGGAAACCAAUUGGAAAAAAAGUUCAAAACCUGUGAUUGAGUUGGAUUGGCUCACAAAGAGAUUCAUGAUAACAUCAAGAUGAAAUUUGCAUGGAUUGAUGAAAGAUUUAAGUGUUUAUUGUGAAAAUUUAAACAUCAUCUUAAACCGACUAUUUUGUCCCCUGCUAUUAUUUAAAAUGGUUAGCGUGAUUACCAUUUUUUACCUUCUGUUUAGGAAAACCAUUUUUCCAUAUUUUCUAUCAUAUAUAAACUUGACAUCAAUAUACAAGUUGAGAGAGGGAAAACAAAGACUGAGAUGGAUCGAGAUGCUGCUGAUGAUGCUGAUGACUACAUGGUUUUUGGUGAAUAAUAUGGAUAGAGUAGUUGAAUUGGUGCAGAAAAGGAAAGAAAAGAAUGGUGAAAUGUUAUCAGAAAAGAUAAGAUUGGUGAGCCAAACUAUGGAAAGAUGAAAGAUUUUGAGCAAGAAAAAAGAGUUUUUUUUUCCUCUUUAAAAGUAAAGAUGGUACAGAAAAUGGCAAAGAAUAAGGAUAUUCUUGUAAAGAUGAAAAAGAAAAAUAAAGAAUAGGAAAAGGAAAUGACAAAGUUACCAAGGAAAGAGAAAAGAAGGAGGAAAAAUGGCAUAAAGCGAGAGAUGGAGAUGCAUAGGAAAGUCUGGAGAUGAUGAUGAUUAUGAUGGUGAUGAUGAUCAAGUGAAGAGUCAAGUAAAGAAAUGAAAAAGAAGUGGAUGAAAAAAAUAUAAAAGCAAAACUUGGUUAUUAUACACAGACAGAGGAAUGGUUCAAUGAAUAAUCGUUGAUGUGAAUCGUAGCUUUUUUGACAACAUACGAUGGAAAUGAUAGAAAUAUUCUUGUUCGUCCAAACUCUUCAACACGAUUUACAGAUGAAACAGAUGAGAGAAUAAGACUUUGGUUCCUAAUUUUCAUUUUGGGCUUUCUUCAACGGCUUUCCACUCUUCAAAUCAAUAAUGUUAUCAAGUCUGGUUCAAAAAUUUACAGUUUCAUGGAAAUUCUCAUUCAACUUUUCGCUUCUUCUCUCUUAUCUAGUAUCAUCUUAUUUUGCCUCCAAGACUGUUUUUGAAACACAAGAGAUAAUAAAGAUGAUUGAGAUGAAGAAAGGAUCAAAUGAUAUUAUUAAUGCUUUGGAAAGAGAGUGGUAAAGAAGAGAAAAGAUAAACAAGCCCAAACAUGGUGAACCUUUUUUUUGCUGUUUUUACUUGGAAGAGAAACAAAAGACAAGGAAAAUGUUUCAAGAGGAAGAAAAAAUCAGGAGAAUAUGAUGAAAGACGGAACAAAAAAGUAGUGAAGAUGAUCAUUUUCAUGAGGAAUAAGAGUGUAUAACAAUUUAACCUCGAUGAAAGAUACAAUUUUGACGUCACAUAAGGCAGGGAGAAAAAAGAAGAGACUGAAAAUGGAUAAAAUAAUUCCAUUAUCAUUAUGAAUUAUUGUGAUUCAUUUGAGAAAUUUAUGUAUUACAUUUAACUGAGUCGAUUGACGAGUAAUUGGCUAAAUAAAUGAUGAUCAAAUUACAAAAUCAGAUUGAACAGAGCUUCCUGGGAGGUUAACAAUUGAUUAUUAGAUUGAUAUAAAAAAUGGUGCAAAUAAUAACUAUAAUAAUGAUAAUCUUUAUCAAAAAGUGUCAUCUCUUGUUAUAAAUCAAUACUUAAAAAGGUGUGAACAGCAGCAACAAAUAACAGUUUUAACUCUUUAUAUUUUCCCUCAAAUUACGUCACUCUACAAUUGGAGGCAAAGGAUGAGAGCCGAUCGUCGAUAUCUGUCCAAAGUAUUUUUGGCCUAAAACUAAUUAAAAGGCUCUUAUCAGGAGGUAAAAUUUCAAGCAAAUCGGUAAAAUAAUAUAAUCAAGCAAAUUAUCCACUUGCUCAUGAUGCUCAACUCAUUGGCUUGGAAGAAUCAUUUCAUUAAUAUUAUCACCAUUAAUAUUACCAAGUGUAGUGUUUGAAAGAUUUUUGCAGUCAAACAAUUUUACUGGGAAUCUAUUUUUGCCAUUGUUUUAUAUUUUUGGAGCAACACAGAAAAAAAAGCGUGGAUUAAAAACAUGGGAAUUAAUCUGGAAAUGAACAGAAUGAUGUUGCAAAACUAUCACCAUACCAUCAUUAUGAUUCCCUGAGGCUGAUAAGUUGACUCACAGUGACUAGACAGUUACCUGUCAAUGUUAAAUCUUGGAGAAGUUGUUGAAGCUUACAGCUAAUUACAUUUUUCAUUGAAAUGGCUGACAGGCUGAUACUGAAUAAGUGCUAAUAAUAAUAGAAGUGAAAGUUGGGCAGAAAAAAAGGACAAGCAAAGAGUAAAGGAAAAAGCCAAGUGAAGCCAAGAGUCGAGUAAAAGGAGCAAGAAGAAAGAAUGUCUUCCAUUUUUUGGUCAUUCAUUUUCACCAAGAAGUCAAUGGAAAUAUUUUCUCUUUUCACCUAUUCCGAUCAAAAGUACACAACACAACAAUAAUAAUUAUCUUAUUAUGGACCGAUAGUUUCAUGCUGCUGUUGCUGUUGAUAAUGAAUGAAAACAAGGGACAAAAAUAAUAAAAGUAAAACUAUAUAUUACAAGUGAUUUAAGGGCCAACUUUUAGGGGCUUUGAAAGCAACCAAAUGACUGAAAAGAAGUGAAUACAUAACCCAUAAGGCUGAAGCAAGGCUGAAAUUUUUGGUUCUCUGUCGACCCCAC